Molecule: small RNA, 70 nt
Filed under: Mytilus galloprovincialis (Mediterranean mussel)
Lineage: Eukaryota; Metazoa; Mollusca; Bivalvia; Mytilida; Mytilidae
Source: RNAcentral
CAUCUGCUUCAAAUAUGAAAGCUCUUCUUACAGAUAUUUGUAAGAAGAGCUUUCAUAUUUGAAGCAGAUG